GGCCGCUUAGCUCAGCCUGGUAGAGCACCGUCUUGAUAAGGCGGGGGUCGUUGGAUCGAAGCCAACAGCGGCUA
Molecule: transfer RNA, 74 nt
Filed under: Methylibium petroleiphilum PM1
Lineage: Bacteria; Pseudomonadati; Pseudomonadota; Betaproteobacteria; Burkholderiales; Sphaerotilaceae
Rfam family: tRNA
About the family: Transfer RNA (tRNA) molecules are approximately 80 nucleotides in length. Their secondary structure includes four short double-helical elements and three loops (D, anti-codon, and T loops).
Source: Rfam by way of RNAcentral